UACGACAACGACAUAUAGAGAUAAAAAUGUUAAAUAUUUGAUGGCAGAACGAGGAUACCUGUGAAGGAGAUGGAGGUUCUCCUCAUGUCUGUAGAAUUAAUGACAGGUGGGUUCAAGUUGGAGCUGUGGCCUUCGGUUGGGGUUGUGGAGAUGGAGUACCUGCUAUAUAUAGUUCAGUAUCCGAUGGUAUGUGCUGGAUUGAUUGGAUUAUGUCCUGCAAACCUUUAGCCAGUGAGAACAUAGAUUUUACCCCUGAACCAGAUCUUCGGACAGAAUCUUUAAAAAGUGUAAACGGUCUGACUGCCAGUGAAUGUGGAAGCUGGCUGAACGAUCAUCCGGAUCUCAAACGACAGGAAC
Molecule: long non-coding RNA, 357 nt
Organism: Eurytemora carolleeae
Lineage: Eukaryota; Metazoa; Arthropoda; Copepoda; Calanoida; Temoridae
Exons: 5
Source: RefSeq, a predicted model, not a curated record